UACGUAGGGAGCAAGCGUUGUUCGGAUUUACUGGGCGUAAAGGGCGCGUAGGCGGCAUGACAAGUCACUUGUGAAAUCUCUGGGCUUAACCCAGAACGGCCAAGUGAUACUGUCGCGCUAGAGUGCGGAAGGGGCAAUCGGAAUUCUCGGUGUAGCGGUGAAAUGCGUAGAUAUCGAGAGGAACACCUGAGGUGAAGACGGGUUGCUGGGCCGACACUGACGCUGAGUGCGCGAAAGCCAGGGGAGCAAACAGG
RNAcentral lists this ribosomal RNA (254 nucleotides) under uncultured bacterium. Its description in RNAcentral is "partial 16S ribosomal RNA". It matches the Rfam family "Bacterial small subunit ribosomal RNA", at positions 524 to 776 of the family's 1533-position model. The record is from RNAcentral.